CGAACGAUGAACCACAUUCGGUGGGGAUUAGUGGCGAACGGGUGAGUAACACGUGGGCAAUCUGCCCUGCACUCUGGGACAAGCCCUGGAAACGGGGUCUAAUACCGGAUACUGAUCACUGCAGGCAUCUGUGGUGUUCGAAAGCUCCGGCGGUGCAGGAUGAGCCCGCGGCCUAUCAGCUUGUUGGUGAGGUAAUGGCUCACCAAGGCGACGACGGGUAGCCGGCCUGAGAGGGCGACCGGCCACACUGGGACUGAGACACGGCCCAGACUCCUACGGGAGGCAGCAGUGGGGAAUAUUGCACAAUGGGCGCAAGCCUGAUGCAGCGACGCCGCGUGAGGGAUGACGGCCUUCGGGUUGUAAACCUCUUUCAGCAGGGAAGAAGCGAAAGUGACGGUACCUGCAGAAGAAGCGCCGGCUAACUACGUGCCAGCAGCCGCGGUAAUACGUAGGGCGCGAGCGUUGUCCGGAAUUAUUGGGCGUAAAGAGCUCGUAGGCGGCUUGUCACGUCGGUUGUGAAAGCCCGGGGCUUAACCCCGGGUCUGCAGUCGAUACGGGCAGGCUAGAGUUCGGUAGGGGAGAUCGGAAUUCCUGGUGUAGCGGUGAAAUGCGCAGAUAUCAGGAGGAACACCGGUGGCGAAGGCGGAUCUCUGGGCCGAUACUGACGCUGAGGAGCGAAAGCGUGGGGAGCGAACAGGAUUAGAUACCCUGGUAGUCCACGCCGUAAACGGUGGGCACUAGGUGUGGGCAACAUUCCACGUUGUCCGUGCCGCAGCUAACGCAUUAAGUGCCCCGCCUGGGGAGUAC
Molecule: ribosomal RNA, 807 nt
Filed under: Streptomyces sp.
Lineage: Bacteria; Bacillati; Actinomycetota; Actinomycetes; Kitasatosporales; Streptomycetaceae
Description: bacterial SSU rRNA
Rfam family: Bacterial small subunit ribosomal RNA
Source: RNAcentral